RNAcentral lists this long non-coding RNA (711 nucleotides) under Mytilus galloprovincialis (Mediterranean mussel). Lineage: Eukaryota; Metazoa; Mollusca; Bivalvia; Mytilida; Mytilidae. The record is from RNAcentral.
ACAUGUCAUAUAUAGGUUGAAUUUGUACACUUUAUCAAACUUAAGACCACAGAUCCAGGAAAGUCUUCUUCAAUGAAAAUUAAAAAUUCGAAUGUCGAAGAAAUACGCGGAUACUAAUUGGACAUGAUAAAUAUUAGGCAACACACCAUUGCAGAAAUGGGAAUAGCUAACAUUCAUGUGGUUUCUGUAGAAUAGGAAGGAAUUAUUAUGAUCUUGUUAUCAUAAACAUUUCAACUUAACAUUCAUUCUUCUUGAAAGAGGAUCUUUCAACAACAAAAAAUACGAUUUAAAAAUACCUUAACUUGUAUUUGAAAUCUGUCAUUACCAGUGCCUGUGCUAUUUUGAUGCUUAUAUAGACAUGUAUGAGCAAAUAUGCUGUCUGUGAAUAAAGUUUUACUUUCCAGUAUUAUUUGCCUUCAUCAUUUGAAUUUAAAAAAAUAAAAUGAUUGAAAUGAUGUACCUAAAUUCAGACUGUUAACCGCUGAAUCAAGAUAUUUCUUUGUGAUCAAUUUGAACUUGCAGUGAAGUGUGAGUUGUUUGUUCAUGAUGAAAGCCUCACUGUGACUUUGAAAUGAAAAACAGCAACACAACCCAUCUGCAAUUGCUUUAAUGUUAUCACGUACGUAAAAAGAUGUCGUGUCAUGGAUAUUUACGACAUAUCACUUUAUUCCUUCACUAGAUAGAGUAAUUAAUGAGUUGAUAUAUUUCCUU